GCCGCCGCCAGCCGCGCACGGGGUAAACAAGCGUCUGCUUUUGCGUAUAUGGACUCUGUGUGGACAGGAGCCAACCCUCCCCUCCAAGCCAAUAGCAGUCUUUCUUCCAUUGAUGUCAAUGAGCUCAGAUCAGAGCACAAGUCUUGUGAGUGAUCAAAGACAGUUCUACAUAAAAAAGACUUCCUUUUCCAGUUUGUGUUUCAGAUAUCUAUUGAAAAAUGGGGAAAAAGCACUUCAAUAACUCCUGGAGAACUGCAGUUGUUUCAGAUGCAACAGUGAAAGAGGACACAUGAAUUUGUGAAGCUGAGAAAAAUUUGACGCAUCCCUGGCACCACUUUGGCAACCCCUACUUUGCGCAGUGACACAACGUUGUUUAUGAACUUCAACAGCUUGGCCAAGAAAAAUUUCUGUUUUUUUCAAUUUUCAGUAACUUUUAAAAUUUUGAUGAGUGUAUAAUAGGUUUUUGAUACUGGAAAAUCCACCUCAGACUGGAGAAUCCCCUUUAUCUUUUUGAAAUAGGAAAAGUCUGUGUCAUAUCUGUGCUUUGUUCCUAGAAUAAUUUUUAGAUUGAAAGGUAGUAUACUACUAUUUUUUACUUGCAUCUAUUUUAAUGAUCACAUAUAUAUGAUACUGCAACAGGUGGGGUUAUUUAUACACAUGGAAAAAGAUGUUAGAUCUGUAAGUUGUUCAAGAUCUUAAAAUAACUUGUGUACUACAGGAAUCCUUUCUGUUAACCUUAGAAAAGGGUGGAGGUGUGGGGAGGAAAUGAACAUAAAGUAAUUUUAUUUCUGUCUCACGAGGCAUGAAUGAAUAACUGUUGUCAUCUAAUCUUUCGAUGUGGGUCCCUGGUCUGCUACUUACAGGCAUUUCACGUUACUUAUUUUCCUGGCUUCCUCAGCUAAGAUGGACAAAGGAAUACUGAACAGAGAAACUUUAUGUUUUCAAAGUGCAAAGGACUUGAGAAGUGUAUAUUUUUUCCAGGUUUUAGGUAUGUGGAAAUUAAUGGAAAUGAUCCUAAGACUAAAGAGCUGUCCUUUAAACUCAAAAGCUUGUAACAUCCUGCAGCGGUGAUGCAACAGUUUGCAAGACUGACUGAAUAGCCAAGUGUAAUUCUGAUCCCUCUCCUUUGCCAGGCUGUGACACUGGCAGAUUUCCAGAAUAAGCCAAUUUCAGAACUGCGGAGCCUCCAAAUACGAUCUUCUGUCAGUCACAGAGAUUUCAGCUCCAGGAAAGGAAAGAUUGAUCUGGCAGAUUAUAAUCACUACUGUACGAGACAGUGAAAGAAGUGAUCUUUCCUAUAGCGGGAUGCCAGCUGCUCUGGGACUAGUCAUCACCUUGAACUGUGCUGGGAAGCGGCAGUGACUUAGCUCAAGUAUCACUAUGUCUCAUCCUGGUCUUGUGAUACAAACCACUGUUUUUUCAAUAGGUGCUACAGCGGCAACUCCCAACCUGUGCUGAAACAAUCAAAAUACUUCAGAGUUUCCAGAGCCAUCCCCAUUCUGGGCUUUCACUUCUCUAAAAAAAGAGAAAUAAACAGUGAAACUGA
This is a long non-coding RNA of Harpia harpyja (harpy eagle), 1546 nucleotides long. RefSeq lists it as uncharacterized. Lineage: Eukaryota; Metazoa; Chordata; Aves; Accipitriformes; Accipitridae. The record is from RefSeq and is a predicted model, not a curated record. The transcript has 3 exons.